CCUGUCCAUCGGCGGCUGGCGUGGGGUCGGCUGCUGUUCUGGGAUGGUGUGCUGAGCUGGGCAAACUCAAGUGUCGCUGGUGAUGUGCUUCCACUUUGUGUCCUGUGUGGUUGACUGCUUGCAUGCCGCUUCGAGAGAACCAGAGGAGGAGUUGGUGCCUUCGACUACACUGAUGCAGUGUCACUAGAGAAGGGGGGCAUCACUGUUCUUUUCCCAACCUUUUGUUUUGUUUUGUCCUAUUGUGUGAGUGAUUCAUCCUGUGCAACCUUUUCACUUUGACGUCCGAGACGAAGGGGCUUGUGUAAGUUUCACUCUAACAUCCGAGACGAAGGGGCUCGUGUAAGUUUCUACUUAGUAACCGCCAAGACGGAGCUUGUGUAUAUGAUUAGGGUAUGAACACUGAAGUAUUACUGGGAGACGUAUCUUAAAUCUCAGACUCCUUUUGGAACCUAUACUUGCUGUAGGGGGAGACCAAAGACGUGUGUCUAACAGGCUUGUGUGUGUGUGUGGUGGCCAUUACCAAUUUUGCCCUUUUGGCAGUUUGUUUUCUUUUGUACAAUUUGAUUUACUAACUUUGUUUGCCGUGCAAUUUUUGUCAUUUGGUCUACCC
Engraulis encrasicolus (European anchovy) is the source of this 610-nucleotide long non-coding RNA. RefSeq lists it as uncharacterized. The transcript is spliced from 3 exons. The record is from RefSeq and is a predicted model, not a curated record. NCBI's taxonomy places the organism in Eukaryota, Metazoa, Chordata, Actinopteri, Clupeiformes, Engraulidae.